This 114-nucleotide ribosomal RNA is filed under the name uncultured bacterium. Its description in RNAcentral is "partial 16S ribosomal RNA". It matches the Rfam family "Bacterial small subunit ribosomal RNA", at positions 1369 to 1482 of the family's 1533-position model. The record is from RNAcentral.
CGUUCCCGGGCCUUGUACACACCGCCCGUCACACCAUGGGAGUCUGUUGCUCCAGAAACGGGUUGCCUAACCGAAAGGGGGCGCUCUUUAAGGAGUGGCGAGGUAACUGGGGUG